CGUCAAGUCAUCAUGCCCCUUAUGUCCAGGGCUUCACGCAUGCUACAAUGGCCGGUACAGAGGGCUGCGAUACCGUGAGGUGGAGCGAAUCCCAAAAAGCCGGUCUCAGUUCGGAUCGGGGUCUGCAACUCGACCCCGUGAAGUUGGAGUCGCUAGUAAUCGCAGAUCAGCAUGCCGCGGUGAAUACGUUCCCGGGCCUU
RNAcentral lists this ribosomal RNA (200 nucleotides) under uncultured organism. Its description in RNAcentral is "partial small subunit ribosomal RNA". It matches the Rfam family "Bacterial small subunit ribosomal RNA", at positions 1183 to 1382 of the family's 1533-position model. The record is from RNAcentral.